Long non-coding RNA from Meriones unguiculatus (Mongolian gerbil), 361 nucleotides. RefSeq lists it as uncharacterized. The record is from RefSeq and is a predicted model, not a curated record. The transcript has 3 exons. Lineage: Eukaryota; Metazoa; Chordata; Mammalia; Rodentia; Muridae.
CAGAGGCAAAUGGGCUGCAGAAAGUAUACUCCCAGGAAACGCAGAGCUCACCCAGCUUCCUUUCCAUCCUGGAAGACAGCACCUGGCUCCAGUGCGCCUUAUUGAGGUGGCGUCUUUGGUGACAAAGGUGACGGCUUUGCCUGGUUAUCGAAGGCAUCCUAUGUGGCAGCUCUGUGGAUUACCUGUUCAAGACUACAAUGGCCAUUCAGACAAGCUCUGACGUCAGACGAGAGGACAACACAGCAAAUGCAUAGCAAGAGCUGAAGGUCAGUGAAGUCAUCCUAAAUGUUGACUAACGCAGCUACUGAUGCAGGGGCUAAGCGAAAGCUCGAUGAGAAGAUUACCUUAAUGGUUUAGCCUU